Molecule: non-coding RNA, 997 nt
Organism: Electrophorus electricus (electric eel)
Lineage: Eukaryota; Metazoa; Chordata; Actinopteri; Gymnotiformes; Gymnotidae
Source: RefSeq, a predicted model, not a curated record
AUGAGUACUGCCAACAAAUUUAUCAACAGCCUGAACAACUGCAUUACUGAACAAAGCCCUUACGUAGUCCUGCAUGUCAAAACCCAGAAGAAAACUGAACUAAAGAAUAAAUGUGCAUAAAAUUGUACAACAUGUAUAUUUUUGUUCUAACAUACAUUCUCUGAUUAAUUGUGAAGCAGAAUUCAUUAAAAAAAACUGAAACAAAAGUUUAUCAAACAAUUGCCUAUUAAAAUGUUUUCUGUAUAUUAGAUUCAAUUUAUAAAUACGGAAAGGACUGCCAUUAGGCAUACUUGUCUUUUUAGCAUACAUGCAGAAUGGAGCAAGACGAGACAGGGCAUAGCACAAUUUGAGUUGCUUUUAACUAACACGGACAUGUUUUAAAGCCAUUUCACAGUGAAAGCCCUCCUUAGCUGCUGUGCCUCCCCUGAUGUCCUUAUGUCUUGUAGUUUGUCCUGCAGGUGCAUGUCUCAAACAAAGAGAAGCAUGUGUCCUACCGUAUGACGCAAGAGGGAACAGCACACGAUUUGCCGCAACCGCACUACCACUUCCAAAACAAAAGCCACGUAAUAAAGACUAGUGAAGGCGUGAGGAACAAACCAGCAUCCCUCUCCAGCUGCGGAGAAGCCCUCUGGCAGUUGGCGAUGGGGUUACGCCAACCUUCUUGUCAAAAAAUGGCAGCCAUUUGACAGCAUGGGGGGAGAAAAAUAACAAAAUCGCCCCUUUCCUUUGUUGUUCUUCCAACUGUGAUGUCUUUCAUUCGUAGAUAAAGACAUGCACAUUGUUGAAGUAAACGAUGUAUUACUCUACAAAAAAAAUAGAGAUCUGUAUACUUGCCUUCCUGAUGGUUUUCGGUGUAUGCUAAGGUGCGAAGAGCAGUUCGCAGAGAUAUACCGCUGAGGAAGAGAGGAACGGACCACUAGAGAACCAAAAAAGAGUCAAAUUGUUAACCUCCAUCACAAUAACAUCUCCUUGGUAGCAAAAAGUAUGUUUCCGAGCC